Molecule: ribosomal RNA, 199 nt
Filed under: uncultured bacterium
Lineage: Bacteria
Description: partial 16S ribosomal RNA
Rfam family: Bacterial small subunit ribosomal RNA
Source: RNAcentral
GCAGGCUGCAACUCGCCUGCAUGAAGUCGGAAUUGCUAGUAAUCGCGGAUCAGCAUGCCGCGGUGAAUACGUUCUCGGGCCUUGUACACACCGCCCGUCGCACCAUGGGAGUCGGUAACACCCGAAGUCUGUAGCCUGACGCAAGAGGGCGCAGCCGAAGGUGGGAUUGAUGACUGGGGUGAAGUCGUAACAAGGUAUC